RNAcentral lists this transfer RNA (76 nucleotides) under Acidobacteriota bacterium. RNAcentral's name for it is "Acidobacteria bacterium tRNA-Asn". It matches the Rfam family "tRNA". Rfam says of the family: Transfer RNA (tRNA) molecules are approximately 80 nucleotides in length. The record is from RNAcentral. RNAcentral also lists the same sequence under 3 other names. Lineage: Bacteria; Pseudomonadati; Acidobacteriota.
UGGGGCGUGGUCCAACCGGUAGGACACUGCACUGUUAAUGCAGAUGGUGCUGGUUCGAAUCCAGCCGCCCCAGCCA